CAGUAGCCGCGGGAAUACGAAGGUCCCAAGCGUUGUUCGGAAUCACUGGGCGUAAAGGGAGCGUAGGCGGCGUGGUAAGUCAGAUGUGAAAUCCCGGGGCUCAACCCCGGAACUGCAUCCGAUACUGCCAUGCUUGAGGGUUGGAGAGGUAGCUGGAAUUCUCGGUGUAGCAGUGAAAUGCGUGGAUAUCGAGAGGAACACUCGUGGCGAAGGCGAGCUACUGGACAACAACUGACGCUGAGGCUCGAAGGCCAGGGUAGCGAAAGGGAUUAGAUACCCCGGUAGUCCCUGUCUCUUAUAC
This 301-nucleotide ribosomal RNA is filed under the name uncultured bacterium. RNAcentral's name for it is "partial 16S ribosomal RNA". It matches the Rfam family "Bacterial small subunit ribosomal RNA", at positions 509 to 807 of the family's 1533-position model. The record is from RNAcentral.